RNAcentral lists this transfer RNA (76 nucleotides) under Deltaproteobacteria bacterium. RNAcentral's name for it is "tRNA-Thr". It matches the Rfam family "tRNA". Rfam says of the family: Transfer RNA (tRNA) molecules are approximately 80 nucleotides in length. Their secondary structure includes four short double-helical elements and three loops (D, anti-codon, and T loops). The record is from RNAcentral. Lineage: Bacteria; Pseudomonadati; Myxococcota; Myxococcia.
GCCCAAGUAGCUCAGUCGGUAGAGCGCGUCCUUGGUAAGGACGAGGUCAGCAGUUCAAUCCUGCUCUUGGGCUCCA